Molecule: ribosomal RNA, 510 nt
Filed under: uncultured bacterium
Lineage: Bacteria
Description: partial 16S ribosomal RNA
Rfam family: Bacterial small subunit ribosomal RNA
Source: RNAcentral
GACGAACGCUGGCGGCGUGCCUAACACAUGCAAGUCGAACGAAGAGCGAUGGAAGCUUGCUUCUAUCAAUCUUAGUGGCGAACGGGUGAGUAACGCGUAAUCAACCUGCCCUUCAGAGGGGGACAACAGUUGGAAACGACUGCUAAUACCGCAUACGAUCUAAUCUCGGCAUCGAGGAUAGAUGAAAGGUGGCCUCUACAUGUAAGCUAUCACUGAAGGAGGGGAUUGCGUCUGAUUAGCUAGUUGGAGGGGUAACGGCCCACCAAGGCGAUGAUCAGUAGCCGGUCUGAGAGGAUGAACGGCCACAUUGGGACUGAGACACGGCCCAGACUCCUACGGGAGGCAGCAGUGGGGAAUCUUCCGCAAUGGACGAAAGUCUGACGGAGCAACGCCGCGUGAGUGAUGACGGCCUUCGGGUUGUAAAGCUCUGUUAAUCGGGACGAAAGGCCUUCUUGCGAAUAGUGAGAAGGAUUGACGGUACCGGAAUAGAAAGCCACGGCUAACUACGUG